Molecule: RNA transcript, 744 nt
Organism: Cynara cardunculus var. scolymus (artichoke)
Lineage: Eukaryota; Viridiplantae; Streptophyta; Magnoliopsida; Asterales; Asteraceae
Gene name: protein NUCLEAR FUSION DEFECTIVE 6, chloroplastic/mitochondrial-like
Exons: 4
Source: RefSeq, a predicted model, not a curated record
CCGAUUCAAUUUGUUUCGCCGAACCAUAUGGCAACAGCCGUCGCAGCUAGGUCCGCCUUCCGCUCCGCCUCCACCUUCACCACCCUCCGCACGGGGGCUUCUAGAAUCGCCGCUGGUGCUAAAUCCAAUGCGACAUCGCCGCCACGCUCUACCUUUCGCAUCCCCUCACAAAACCCCCUUUCUCAUCGCAUUUUCAGGUCACCAGUUGAGAUGAGUUGUAUGUCUGUAGAAUCAAUGUUUCCAUUCCAUACAGCUACUGCCUCUGCAUUGCUGACCUCAAUGCUUUCAGCUGCUCCGCGGACAUGUGGUUGGACCCUUGAAGAUCUGAACGAUGAUGUAUGAUGACUUGUUGGAAGGCUGUGGACCUACUACAAGAAUGCAUGAUAAGUAAUGAACUCCAGAAGAAAGGCUGUGAUUGGGCAUGAAGCGGUUUUCAUUCGAGUAAAUUGUUUGUUGAUUGUAGAUGGAUGAUUUUGGCUGGAUAUUUUAAUGGCAGUGACCGAUGAUUCUUGUCAUUUGCAUUUUUGAAAAUGGGAACAUGUUGUCGUCAUAUGAGGCUGUCGACUAUUAUUUCACUAAGACAAUGUUGAUAUUUGAAGGUACAUUUGUUGCACUAUUAAUGAUUAGUCGUUUCUGCAUCUACUUGAAUGGCUGCUUCGUACUCUGAAACACACUUCAACUUGUGAUCUUUCAUUAUAUGGAAUAAAUAUCGUGUAGAGGUCGUCAAACUGGUUAACUGAUCGG